AACGCAACUUGCGCCUCGUCAGAGGCAUGUCUGUUUGAGUGCCACGAACCAGUGCGUGCACAUGCGCGUGUGGUGGGGCGUGCGUGUGGGUCGGGGGGGGGACGAAAAAUCUGCCCUUUGGCCGGCGCUGCCCCUGAAUGCAGCCAGAGAGUGGCCCGUUGGACCGGACCGAGUGCAAAGCGCACACGGCUGGUGCGCAUGCGUAUGCGUAUGCGCGUGCGUCGGCGUGUAUGCCUCGGCAUACGCAUCGAUCGCAUGCACAUGCACAUGCACAUGCAACCAGCACGUGCCGAUCUUGGUGCCGAGACGGCGGGCCAGGCGCAGCAAUGCGCCACUCUACAAUGCGGCCUCAAAUCAGGCAGGACGACCCGCUGAACUUAA
Molecule: unclassified non-coding RNA, 381 nt
Filed under: uncultured fungus
Lineage: Eukaryota; Fungi
Description: partial contains 5.8S ribosomal RNA, internal transcribed spacer 2, and large subunit ribosomal RNA
Source: RNAcentral